Molecule: ribosomal RNA, 713 nt
Filed under: Scenedesmus quadricauda
Lineage: Eukaryota; Viridiplantae; Chlorophyta; Chlorophyceae; Sphaeropleales; Scenedesmaceae
Description: partial 18S ribosomal RNA
Source: RNAcentral
AAGAAGAAGAAUGUGUGUGUUAAAAAAGAAAAAAAAAAACAAAGAAAAGAUAUGAAAAUUUUUUCCCGCUGUUGCCCCCCCCCCUCCCAACAAAUAUCCCCCCCACCAGCACAAAAAAUUAUAAUUGUUGUGUCGGGGGAGAAGCGCGGGGGUUCCCCCCAAUGCCCGAUGAGAGACCCCCUUUUUGGGGUGUCUCGGCCUCACCCCCUCUUUUUUUUUCCCGCCCAACCCUUUAAAAAAACAAACAGGGGGGGAACCCCUUUCUCCCUUCUCGCCGCCCCAAAAAAAAUAAACCUCUUCUCCAGAAAGGAGGGGGGGGAAAACCCCCGGCCGACAAACCGUUUUCUCCCGGGGGCUGCCCAAUAUUGUUUCAAAGUUUGGGGUCCGGGGAUUUUUCCAAUCCCCACUUGUUUUUCCGUUUGCGGGCUUUUUAAAUGUUAAAAACACAAAUUUUUGUUUUUAAUUUUUCUUUUUAAAACUUCCCCAAUAAAACCCAUUAAAGCUUUCGAGUUUGUUUUCCCUUGUUAACCUUGGGUUAAAGCUUCCAAAGGGAAAUUAAUGAAUGAUUACUUCUGUAGGUGAUGGUGAGGAAGAUUCAUUAAGAAAAAUAGUUUUAAGGAGGAAAAGGUAAGCUUCCAUUAAAGGUACCUGGGGAAGGAUCAGUGCAUGNAUNANUAGUCCUUUCCCUGAAGGGGACUGCGGAAGGAUCAUUG